Molecule: ribosomal RNA, 425 nt
Filed under: uncultured bacterium
Lineage: Bacteria
Description: partial 16S ribosomal RNA
Rfam family: Bacterial small subunit ribosomal RNA
Source: RNAcentral
GUGGGGAAUCUUCCGCAAUGGACGAAAGUCUGACGGAGCAACGCCGCGUGAGUGAUGAAGGCCCUAGGGUUGUAAAGCUCUUUCACCGGUGAAGAUAAUGACGGUAACCGGAGAAGAAGCCCCGGCUAACUUCGUGCCAGCAGCCGCGGUAAUACGAAGGGGGCUAGCGUUGUUCGGAAUUACUGGGCGUAAAGCGCACGUAGGCGGACAUUUAAGUCAGGGGUGAAAUCCCGGGGCUCAACCCCGGAACUGCCUUUGAUACUGGGUGUCUGGAGUAUGGAAGAGGUAAGUGGAAUUCCGAGUGUAGAGGUGAAAUUCGUAGAUAUUCGGAGGAACACCAGUGGCGAAGGCGGCUUACUGGUCCAUUACUGACGCUGAGGUGCGAAAGCGUGGGGAGCAAACAGGAUUAGAAACCCCAGUAGUCC